AAGUCGUAACAAGGUUUCCGUAGGUGAACCUGCGGAAGGAUCAUUAAAGAUUCGGGUCUCGGCCCACCUCAUCAGCUGUGCGCUUCGGCUGCACGCUGCAUGAACAACUCACACCUGUGCGCAUCUUCGGUGGCGGCGUUCGCGUCGCUUCCGCUUUACAUUUAACAACUGUUCAGAAUGUACAAACCAUAAACAAUACAACUUUCAACAACGGAUCUCUUGGCUCUC
Molecule: unclassified non-coding RNA, 228 nt
Filed under: air metagenome
Description: partial contains small subunit ribosomal RNA, internal transcribed spacer 1, and 5.8S ribosomal RNA
Rfam family: Eukaryotic small subunit ribosomal RNA (bases 1-46)
Source: RNAcentral